Molecule: ribosomal RNA, 229 nt
Filed under: Enterococcus faecalis
Lineage: Bacteria; Bacillati; Bacillota; Bacilli; Lactobacillales; Enterococcaceae
Description: partial 16S ribosomal RNA
Rfam family: Bacterial small subunit ribosomal RNA
Source: RNAcentral
UAUUAUGAGAGUUUGAUCCUGGCUCAGGACGAACGCUGGCGGCGUGCCUAAUACAUGCAAGUCGAACGCUUCUUUCCUCCCGAGUGCUUGCACUCAAUUGGAAAGAGGAGUGGCGGACGGGUGAGUAACACGUGGGUAACCUACCCAUCAGAGGGGGAUAACACUUGGAAACAGGUGCUAAUACCGCAUAACAGUUUAUGCCGCAUGGCAUAAGAGUGAAAGGCGCUUU